Molecule: ribosomal RNA, 250 nt
Filed under: uncultured bacterium
Lineage: Bacteria
Description: partial 16S ribosomal RNA
Rfam family: Bacterial small subunit ribosomal RNA
Source: RNAcentral
UACGGGGGGGGCAAGCGUUGUUCGGAAUUACUGGGCGUAAAGGGCUCGUAGGCGGCCAACUAAGUCGGAUGUGAAAUCCCCAGGCUCAACCUGGGAACUGCAUCCGAUACUGGAUGGCUUGAAUUUGGGAGAGGGAUGCAGAAUUCCAGGUGUAGCGGUGAAAUGCGUAGAUAUCUGGAGGAAUACCGGUGGCGAAGGCGGCAUCCUGGACCAACAUUGACGCUGAGGAGCGAAAGCUAGGGGAGCAAAC